This 305-nucleotide ribosomal RNA is filed under the name Salmonella enterica. Its description in RNAcentral is "partial 23S ribosomal RNA". It matches the Rfam family "Bacterial large subunit ribosomal RNA", at positions 2638 to 2925 of the family's 2925-position model. The record is from RNAcentral. RNAcentral also lists the same sequence under 1 other name. Lineage: Bacteria; Pseudomonadati; Pseudomonadota; Gammaproteobacteria; Enterobacterales; Enterobacteriaceae.
CUAUCUGCCGUGGGCGCUGGAGAACUGAGGGGGGCUGCUCCUAGUACGAGAGGACCGGAGUGGACGCAUCACUGGUGUUCGGGUUGUCAUGCCAAUGGCACUGCCCGGUAGCUAAAUGCGGAAGAGAUAAGUGCUGAAAGCAUCUAAGCACGAAACUUGCCCCGAGAUGAGUUCUCCCUGAGACUUUAGGUCUCCUGAAGGAACGUUGAAGACGACGACGUUGAUAGGCCGGGUGUGUAAGCGCAGCGAUGCGUUGAGCUAACCGGUACUAAUGAACCGUGAGGCUUAACCUUACAACGCCGAAG